Equus caballus (horse) is the source of this 1557-nucleotide non-coding RNA. The record is from RefSeq and is a predicted model, not a curated record. Lineage: Eukaryota; Metazoa; Chordata; Mammalia; Perissodactyla; Equidae.
AUUCCAGUACAUCUGCCAUCAGAAGCCUUGAUGCUCUUCUACGCCUCUCAGCUCUCUUAUCCACUCCCGAACGCUCCUCUUUUAUCCAGCCUACUGGGGGCAAGAGCUUUAGGGGGACAACUCGUAUACACCCAGGUGGCUAGGACCUCAGUAUAACACUGAAUAGACGAGGAGGAACCAGAUAUCCUUGUCUUGUUCGUGAUCGUAGAGAAAGCCUUCAGUUUUUCACCAGUAUUCUAUCAACUGAGGAGAGGGGAGUAUUAAACUCACCAGCUCAGUGAUUGUGGAAUUGUCUGUUUCUCCCUUUGAUGAUGUCAAUUGUUUCAGCAUGUUCAAGAUAUUGUUGUACUGUCCUUUGGUCUUCAAAGUUUCUGAUGAGAGGUUAGUGGUUAUUCAAAUCCUUGUUCCCCUUUCCUCUAGCUGCUUUCAAGAUUUCCUCUUUAAGUUGGUCUUCAGUAGCUUGACUAGAAUGCACCCAGUGGGGUUUUCUUUGUAUUAAUCCUGCUGCUUAUUCACUGAACUUCUUGAAUCUGUAACUUUAUGUCUGUCACCAAAUUUGGGAAAUUUUUAGCCAUUAUUUCUUCAAAUAUUUUCUAUGCCCCAUACUUACUUGUCUUCUCCUAGGAUUCCAAUUACAUCUAAGUUACAUCUGAGUUCCUAGUCCCCCUCCCUUUUUUUCAAUGUUUUCUUUUUGUUCUUCAGAUUGGAUCAUUUCUAUUGACCUAUCUUCAAGUUCCCUGACUCCUCUGUCAUCUCCAUUCUGCUAUUAAGCCCUUCUAGUCAAGCUUUUAAAUCAGAUUAUGAGUUAAUAGGAAAAAAAAUAUAUAUAUAUAUAUAUAUUUAUAUAUACUGCUCUCUGCCUCCAUUCCUGGCAUGGAUUCCUAAAACCCUUAUAAAUUCCUAAGGGAUAAGAACACUUGGAGAAGCUCUUGUUCUAAUGAGGUGACUCCAGGUGGCUCCUGGAUGGGUGCUGGUCACUAGAAAGACCAAGCCAUGACUAGAAGGUGGAAUUUUCAGCCUCACCCCAUUCUCCUGAGAGUGGAGAGGGGCUGGAAACGGAGUUAAUAAUGGAUCAUGCUUACGUGAGGAAGCCUCCAUCAAAUCCCCACAGUAUGGGGUUCAGAGAGCCUCCAGGUUGGCGAACACAUCCACCUACUGGGAGGGUGACACACCCCAACGCCAGGGGGACAGAAACUCCUGUGCUCGGGACCCUCCUAGAUCUCGCCCUAUGUAUCUCUUCAUCUAGCUGUUCAUCUGUAUCCUUUAUUAUAUCCCUUAACAAAUGGGUAAAUGCAGGUGUUUCCCUGAGUUCUGUGAGCUACUCUAGCAAAUUAGUUGAACCCAAGGGGUGGGUCAUGGGAACCUCUGAUUUGUAGUCAAUUGGGCAGAAGUAGAGGUGGCAACCUGGACUUGUGAUUGGCAUCUAAAGUGGGAGCAGCCUUGUGGGAGCGAGCCCUUAACCUGUGGAACCUCGCACUAUCUUCAGGGAGAUAGUAUCAGAAUUGAGUUAAAUUGUAGGGGCCGGCCCCAUGGCCGAGUGGUUAAGUUCAUGCACCC